CGCUACGGACUUAAAAUCCGUCGAAUUUAAAAAUCGUGAGGGUUCAAGUCCCUCUAUCCCCA
Molecule: transfer RNA, 62 nt
Filed under: Pterichis galeata
Lineage: Eukaryota; Viridiplantae; Streptophyta; Magnoliopsida; Asparagales; Orchidaceae
Description: partial transfer RNA-Leu
Rfam family: tRNA
About the family: Transfer RNA (tRNA) molecules are approximately 80 nucleotides in length. Their secondary structure includes four short double-helical elements and three loops (D, anti-codon, and T loops).
Source: RNAcentral